Molecule: long non-coding RNA, 1588 nt
Organism: Alligator mississippiensis (American alligator)
Lineage: Eukaryota; Metazoa; Chordata; Crocodylia; Alligatoridae
Exons: 4
Source: RefSeq, a predicted model, not a curated record
CCGCACCCUGCGUCGUGCUCCCUGUCGUGGCAGCGGGCAGCGCCCUACUGCUGUUCACAAUUCCCCUGAGUCUCAUCUGGAUCUGCUGCCCUCCCAGAUGGGGAUCCCGACCCAGGAAGCCAGCACCUCGCAUCUCCCAGCAGAAUGAGCAAAAAGGAGAAGCGCUCUAUACUGGACUGACCACUCGGGAUCAGGAGACCUAUGAAAACUUUAAACCCAAGGGCAAUUAGGAGUCCCAGCAGUAGCCACUGGUGCAGCCUCUGCAAAAGGACGUGUCCUGUUGGGGAUUCAUAUGAGCUCCGCCCCAGCCCUCAAAGGAAAAACUGUUGCUGAAAUCGGUGGCCCUCAUUCUGACGUGUUGGGGAGAGGCUGAACCCCUGCUGGGAUCCCUGGAAGACGAACAUCCCGCCCUGCACAUCACUCCAUUACUCCAUUACUCUGCAGCUGCUGACUCAGUUUCCCCUGUCCCGCCUCUCUCGUAUUUCCAGCGCAGAAGAUACGCAGAUGUGCUCCCCUAAUCUUCUGUGCUUCUCAUCCAUGCCUCAAAGAGAGUCUCCACUAAGAGAGAGGUGGAUUUCCCUCCAAUAGCAACACCCUGCGCUCUUUUACAUGAGAUGCUUAAUGUGCAGUAGCCUAAUACCACUGCAAAGUAGCAUGCUGGGCAAAAGCCAUGAUAAUGAACUAUUGUGCAGUGGUAUUAGGCUACUGCACAGUAGUAUUAGGAUACUGCGCCGUAAGCAUCACUAAAAACUAGGGCUGUCAAUUAAUUGCCUUAAAAGGGUGUGCUUAACCCAUUAAUUUGUUUUUGCAUUAAUUGUUUUAACACGUGUUAAUCUCUGUUGCCAGGCCAUGAGCGCUGGGGGCAAAGUGCCCCUCCCCACUCUCUGCUGCCAGGCUGCAUGUGCGCACGUGCGUACACACACACACACACACACGCACACACACACACGCACACAGAGCCAGCAAGCAGCAGGGGGGAAAGGUUUGAUGGCCAGGUCUUGGGGAGUGUUUAGGGUGUGUGUACAUGUGUGAGGGAGGCAGGUGCCUGCCAGUGCUGGGGAAGCUAUCCAGGUGCUGGGGCUGCAGCAGAGCAGGGUGAGGCACCUGCCCCUCUGCUCUGGGGCCUAGCCUUAUACCCAGGCUUAUAUGAGGCUUUCUGGUGCCCCAUACUUGCCCUUCACUGGGGAGGCCAGGUGUGGCAUUUCCUAAAGACUGCCCUGCCACAAGCAGCCCCACCACACUAUCCUUCCCAGCAGGGUGUAGUUUUAGGUCAUUCCCCAGGACCAGGAGCGUCCUCCAUCCCCAUAGCUCCUACCCCGAACCUCCAAGCUGUUCUGGGAGCAGCCGUCAGCUGGGUGAGGUUGCUCCUUCAGCCCCCUGCAGCAACUGCCUGAAUUGAAUCAGGACCCUGUAAGCUCUCCAAAUUAAAUCAGAACCCUCUGAAUCGAUUCAGAGAGAUUCAGAAAGAGUCAGCGAUUCAGACAGAGACACAACUUUAAAUGUUUUUUCUACAUACCUCAAGGUAGCAGGUGGCUCGUGAAUGCUGUGAUGCUGGGGUGCAUGGAGUGUCCCACAGAAGUGCGGGGGA